This is a transfer RNA of Naegleria gruberi, 90 nucleotides long. It matches the Rfam family "tRNA". Rfam says of the family: Transfer RNA (tRNA) molecules are approximately 80 nucleotides in length. Lineage: Eukaryota; Heterolobosea; Eutetramitea; Acrasida; Naegleriidae. The record is from Rfam.
GGUGCGAUGGUCGAGUGGUCUAAGACGACACGUUUAGGAGUAUAAAUUCCGUGUUCCGCAAGGGCGUGGGUUCAAAUCCCACUCGCAUCA